Molecule: ribosomal RNA, 462 nt
Filed under: [Eubacterium] saphenum
Lineage: Bacteria; Bacillati; Bacillota; Clostridia; Peptostreptococcales; Anaerovoracaceae
Description: bacterial SSU rRNA
Rfam family: Bacterial small subunit ribosomal RNA
Source: RNAcentral
GAUGAACGCUGGCGGCGUGCUUAACACAUGCAAGUCGAGCGAGAAACUACAUGCAGACACUUCGGUAGAAGCGAGUAGCGGAAAGCGGCGGACGGGUGAGUAACGCGUAGGCAACCUGCCCUUCACAGAGGUAUAGCCUCGGGAAACCGGGAUUAAAACCACAUAAAAUCAUAGGUUCGCAUGAACCAAAGGUCAAAGAUUUAUCGGUGAAGGGUGGGCCUGCGUCUGAUUAGCUGGUUGGUAGGGUAAAAGCCUACCAAGGCGACGAUCAGUAGCCGACCUGAGAGGGUGAUCGGCCACAUUGGAACUGAGACACGGUCCAAACUCCUACGGGAGGCAGCAGUGGGGGGUAUUGCACAAUGGGGGAAACCCUGAUGCAGCAACGCCGCGUGAGGUAUGAAGGCCUUUGGGUUGUAAGCCUCUGUCCUAGGGGAAGAAAAAAAUGACGUACCCGAGGAGGAG